This 1262-nucleotide unclassified non-coding RNA is filed under the name Hevea brasiliensis (rubber tree). Lineage: Eukaryota; Viridiplantae; Streptophyta; Magnoliopsida; Malpighiales; Euphorbiaceae. The record is from RNAcentral.
AAAAAAAAAAAAAAAAAAGAGGCUGUACACUGAAAAUUCUAAGUUACUUCUUCUGAGGAAGCCCCACAUAAUCUUUUGUUCUUGAUUUCACCUCAUAUUAUUCAAACAAAAGACAGGACAUAUCAAAUGUUUAUGUUCGCUCAGAUGCAAAAAGAAAUCAGCAACGCGCUAUAACACCAACCAGAUCCUGAUAAACUUAAUAGAUCACUGCCCAUGAAUUGGAAUGGUCAGCAUGCUCAAAACGCUACUGGGAACAGAUUUGACUGAGAUGCAUCUUUCUUACAUACUAAGCAACGAAUUUGUUACAAAAGAAAUAAAAAAAUACAAUAUCUGAAAGAAAUAUGAAUUUCCCUAAUCAACAACACUGUUAAGUACAGAUGCCAAUACAUCUUCGGCUUUCAAAAAUUUGGUCCCAAUUGCCCCUUCAAAAAGCCACAUCAAUAUACCAGCAAUCCAUACACAAAAGGAGUAAUCGAUGCAAAUAGAGCAACUCAACUUCUCCUGUUAUAAUGAAUUAGGCCAAAAGACAACAUAGAUACAAGAAUAUUUUUCAAAAAUGAACCUAUUUCACUGAAUACUUGCACAUUAACUAUCAAUAUUUUGCACCAUGUCUCACCAAGGAAAUAGUUUUUCUAAAUGACCUAUAAAAAUAAAUUUUUGUACACAGCAAUAGAGAAAAAAUCAGCCAGAAAAUUCAAUGGCUCAACACAGCAUCUCCCAGAUAUUACAGGCACUUGUGAUGUUCAUUGUCUAAAACUUCCCUUAAUGCCUUCCAUCAUAUUUUUUUAUCAAAGCAAUAGGUGGAACUCUUGAUUGCCAAUGUAGCUUCUUUUACUUAAUAGGUUCAUUUGUAACUGAAAAUUUUCUAAUCUGAUUCAGGAUUAUUAAUUUGCCAUAGGUUAGAUGCGAGCCACGCUCCUGAUCUAAGUCAGAAGGCCAAAUUGCCCAACAGUUAAAUUGGUUCCAAAAUGACCUAUCCACACUUGAAAUUUGUUAAAAGCUAAAUUUGGUCAAUUCCACAUAUCAUUAAGAUCCAUAAGUUGAUUGAUGAAUUGAUAUGGAGCAAGCAAGGCAAGACAACUCGACAGACUCUAGAAAUUAAGUCUAUUAUCUAAGGCUCUAAAAAAUAAAACCAAAUUGCCAAUACCAAACAGCAAAUUUAGAAUAUUUCAGAGAGUAAAAUAUAGGAGCAUAUGUAUGCAGCUGAAUGAUUUUAAUUUUCAAAUUCCAAAUUUUCAAGAUCUUCCAAAAAAAAAAAAAAG